RNAcentral lists this ribosomal RNA (420 nucleotides) under uncultured bacterium. RNAcentral's name for it is "bacterial SSU rRNA". It matches the Rfam family "Bacterial small subunit ribosomal RNA", at positions 355 to 792 of the family's 1533-position model. The record is from RNAcentral.
UGGGGAAUAUUGCACAAUGGGGGGAACCCUGAUGCAGCGAUGCCGCGUGGAGGAAGAAGGUUUUCGGAUUGUAAACUCCUGUCUUAAAGGACGAUAAUGACGGUACUUUAGGAGGAAGCUCCGGCUAACUACGUGCCAGCAGCCGCGGUAAUACGUAGGGAGCGAGCGUUGUCCGGAAUUACUGGGUGUAAAGGGAGCGUAGGCGGGAUUGCAAGUCAGAUGUGAAAUUUAGGGGCUUAACCCCUGAACUGCAUUUGAAACUGUAGUUCUUGAGUGAAGUAGAGGUAAGCGGAAUUCCUGGUGUAGCGGUGAAAUGCGUAGAUAUCAGGAGGAACACCGGUGGCGAAGGCGGCUUACUGGGCUUUUACUGACGCUGAGGCUCGAAAGCGUGGGGAGCAAACAGGAUUAGAUACCCUGGUA